Molecule: unclassified non-coding RNA, 223 nt
Filed under: plant metagenome
Description: partial contains small subunit ribosomal RNA, internal transcribed spacer 1, and 5.8S ribosomal RNA
Source: RNAcentral
UUUCCGUAGGUGAACCUGCGGAAGGAUCAUUAAAGAGAAUAUGGCCUUCGGGGUAGAUCUCCCACCCUUUGUUCUUAUUACCUUUGUUGCUUUGGCAGGCCCGUCUUCGGACCACCGGCUUCGGCUGGUCAGUGCUUGCCAGAGGACCAAAAACUCUUAUUAUUAAUGUCUUCUGAGUACACUAUAAUAGUUAAAACUUUCAACAACGGAUCUCUUGGUUCUG